AGUGGCGCACGGGUGAGUAACGCGUGGGUAAUCUACCUCCGAAUUGGGGAUAACAUUGCGAAAGCGGUGCUAAUACCGAAUAAUAUCUCUGGAACCCCGGUCCUGGUGAUCAAAGGUGGCCUCUACAUGUAAGCUACCGCUUGGAGAUGAGCCCGCGUACCAUUAGCUAGUUGGUAGGGUAACGGCCUACCAAGGCUGCGAUGGUUAGCUGGUCUGAGAGGAUGAUCAGCCACACUGGAACUGACACACGGUCCAGACUCCUACGGGAGGCAGCAGUGAGGAAUUUUGCGCAAUGGGGGAAACCCUGACGCAGCAACGCCGCGUGAGUGAUGAAGGCCUUCGGGUCGUAAAGCUCUGUCAAGUGGGAAGAACCUGCUCUGUGAUAACACCAUGGGGCACCGACGGUACCACUGAAGGAAGCACCGGCUGACUCCGUGCCAGCAGCCGCGGUAAUACGGGGGGUGCUAGCGUUAUUCGGAAUCAUUGGGCGUAAAGGGCGCGUAGGCGGUCUUUUAAGUCAGAUGUGAAAGCCCUCGGCUUAACCGAGGAAGUGCAUUUGAUACUAAGAGACUUGAGUAUGGGAGAGGGAAGCGGAAUUCCUGGUGUAGCGGUGAAAUGCGUAGAUAUCAGGAGGAACACCGGUGGCGAAGGCGGCUUCCUGGACCAAUACUGACGCUGAGGCGCGAAGGCGUGGGGAGCA
Molecule: ribosomal RNA, 700 nt
Filed under: uncultured bacterium
Lineage: Bacteria
Description: bacterial SSU rRNA
Rfam family: Bacterial small subunit ribosomal RNA
Source: RNAcentral